Molecule: long non-coding RNA, 1137 nt
Filed under: Gossypium barbadense (sea-island cotton)
Lineage: Eukaryota; Viridiplantae; Streptophyta; Magnoliopsida; Malvales; Malvaceae
Description: long non-coding RNA (GBAR_LNC010912)
Source: RNAcentral
AAAGGGAAAAUUGAAGGUUUGAAGUUUUAAAGUUUAAUUAGUAAGUUAAUUUAGCAUUUUUACUUAAUUUUGAUAUUUUAGAAGUUUUAGAACAAAGUUUUGAUAAAAUUAAGUUGAUAUUUUGAAGGUUAUUAGAUUUCUCGAUAUUAUUCAUGUUGAAUAAAAUGAUGAUUUAUGAGUUUUAUUGAUAGGAAUUUAAGUUAGAAGUGGGAAAAGGAUUAAAUUAUAAAGAGAAAGUUAAGUUUUGACAUAGUAAGGGCUAAGUUGAAAGAAAUUCAAAAUUUAAGUUUUAUGUUGAAUAUGAAAAGCUGGAAUUUAUUUUAAGCAAGUAUAAAGAUGAAAACUUAAGUUAAUUUUUUAAGAAAAAGAAUGGUUAUGGUGGAAGGACUAAAUUGGAAUUUAUGGAAAAGUUACAUGGAAAUCUUAAGAAUGUGAUAUUAAUGACUUUGAAUGAAUGUAAAUUUUUCCGUAGCUAACGUAACGCCAGAAAUGUCAUCGAAGAAGGGGAAAGAGAAAGUGGACGAAGAUAUCGAGUAAACUCGAGAAUUACGGUUUGUAUUUCUAUAAAUCGAAUCUAAUAAUUAUUUGUUGAAUUUAUUAUUUAUAUGAAUGAUAAGUAUUAUUAUUAUUAUUAUUAUUAAGGUAUUGAAUUGAAUAAAAAUUCAUGAAUUAUUAGUGAUUUUUGAUAUUGAAUAGAAUAUGUGAAUAUUAAGUAGAAAAUUGAAAAAUGUAUAUUGCAUUGAAAUUGAUUUGCAUGUGGAUUGAUAUGGAAAAAUGUAUUAAAUUGGAUUGAAACUAAAUUAUAAAUGAAAUUAAAAAGUUGAAACUUUAUUAAAUACCCUAUUAACUGUAUCGGGCUAGUCGGAUAUGGCAUGCCAUAGGAUUGGAAGUGUUCAGGGAUAUUUCGACUGUGUGUUGAUGAGACACUAUAUGUGUCGACUACUGUGACUGUUCCGGAUUCAUCCCGAAGAGGUACUCCGUACUUGACUGUUACUGUUACUGUUACUGUUCCAGAUUUGUUCCGAUGAGGUACUUUGUGUACCGCUACUGUUACUGUUACUGUUACCCUUACGGUGUAUUCCGGCUUCGGUCGAUGAAACACUGUAUACUAUCCCCGGUGUGUGGGUUGGAUCCGUG